CGCUCGUCUCAAAGAUUAAGCCAUGCAUGUGUAAGUAUAAAUAAUUUUACUUUGAAACUGCGAAUGGCUCAUUAUAUCAGUUAUAGUUUAUUAGAAAUACUUUACUACUUGGAUAACCGUAGUAAUUCUAGGGCUAAUACAUGACUAAAUCCUCAACUUCGGAAGAGGUGUGUUUAUUAGUAUGAAAACCAUAUAUCUUCGGAUAUAAUAGUGAGUAAUAAUAACCUUUCGUAUCGUAUGUCGUAAGAUAACGAUAGUUCUUUCAAGUUUCUGCCCUAUCAGCUUUCGAUGGUAGUAUAUGGGACUACCAUGGCAGUAACGGGUAACGAAGAAUUUGGGUUCGAUUUCGGAGAGGGAGCCUGAGAGAUGGCUACCACAUCCAAGGAAGGCAGCAGGCGCGUAAAUUACCCAAUCCUGACAUAGGGAGGUAGUGACAAUAAAUCACAAUGCGGAACUAUUU
Molecule: ribosomal RNA, 460 nt
Filed under: Blastocystis sp.
Lineage: Eukaryota; Bigyra; Opalinata; Blastocystidae
Description: SSU rRNA
Rfam family: Eukaryotic small subunit ribosomal RNA
Source: RNAcentral